This 301-nucleotide ribosomal RNA is filed under the name uncultured bacterium. Its description in RNAcentral is "partial 16S ribosomal RNA". It matches the Rfam family "Bacterial small subunit ribosomal RNA", at positions 509 to 808 of the family's 1533-position model. The record is from RNAcentral.
CAGCCGCCACGGGAAUACGUAGGGUGCGAGCGUUAAUCGGAAUUACUGGGCGUAAAGCGUGCGCAGGCGGUUCGUUAAGACAGAUGUGAAAUCCCCGGGCUUAACCUGGGAACUGCAUUUGUGACUGGCGAGCUAGAGUAUGGCAGAGGGGGGGUAGAAUUCCACGUGUAGCAGUGAAAUGCGUAGAGAUGUGGAGGAAUACCGAUGGCGAAGGCAGCCCCCUGGGCCAAUACUGACGCUCAUGCACGAAAGCGUGGGGAGCAAACAGGAUUAGAUACCCCCGUAGUCCCUGUCUCUUAUA